RNAcentral lists this ribosomal RNA (497 nucleotides) under uncultured bacterium. Its description in RNAcentral is "partial 16S ribosomal RNA". It matches the Rfam family "Bacterial small subunit ribosomal RNA", at positions 28 to 507 of the family's 1533-position model. The record is from RNAcentral.
GAUGAACGCUGGCGGCGUGCCUAAUACAUGCAAGUCGAGCGAACGGACGAGAAGCUUGCUUUUCUGAUGUUAGCGGCGGACGGGUGAGUAACACGUGGAUAACCUACCUAUAAGACUGGGAUAACUUCGGGAAACCGGAGCUAAUACCGGAUAAUAUUUUGAACCGCAUGGUUCAAAAGUGAAAGACGGUCUUGCUGUCACUUAUAGAUGGAUCCGCGCUGCAUUAGCUAGUUGGUAAGGUAACGGCUUACCAAGGCAACGAUGCAUAGCCGACCUGAGAGGGUGAUCGGCCACACUGGAACUGAGACACGGCCCAGACUCCUACGGGAGGCAGCAGUAGGGAAUCUUACGCGAUGGGCGAGAGCCUGACGGAGCAACGCCGCGUGAGUGAUGAAGGUCUUCGGAUCGUAAAACUCUGUUAUUAGGGAAGAACAUAUGUGUAAGUAACUGUGCACAUCUUGACGGUACCUAAUCAGAAAGCCACGGCUAACUCCGUG